RNAcentral lists this non-coding RNA (61 nucleotides) under Thermoanaerobacterium saccharolyticum. Its description in RNAcentral is "Fluoride sequence". It matches the Rfam family "Fluoride riboswitch aptamer (crcB RNA motif)". The record is from RNAcentral. Lineage: Bacteria; Bacillati; Bacillota; Clostridia; Thermoanaerobacterales; Thermoanaerobacteraceae.
AUUAAGAUUGGUGAUGGAGCUCACCAUUAAAUGCGAUGAUGCUGAUGGCUCCUAUUGGGUA